This 713-nucleotide long non-coding RNA is filed under the name Nicotiana benthamiana. RNAcentral describes it as "long non-coding RNA (NBEN_LNC029620)". Lineage: Eukaryota; Viridiplantae; Streptophyta; Magnoliopsida; Solanales; Solanaceae. The record is from RNAcentral.
AUCAUUAGGAGAACUGUUUUGAAGCUUAGUAAUCUGUCACUCCUCGCCUUCGGCUCCCACUAACCCCUCCCUUCAUUCCUAUAUAAAUCGACACAAACAAACCGUCUUCCCACCAAUUAACAGCACAUUUUUUACCAUAACACAAUUUCUCAAUUUUCACCAAACUUCAAUUUUUUUUCUCAGAGAUAAAUGGCUCAAAUUAGCAUAACUAUCCAAGCCUUCGUUCUUGCCAUCCUCCUUGCUGCUGUUGCUUCCUCCGCACAGAAGACUGCAAUGUCACCGGCGCCGUCACCGGAUGCCGGAGCUGCGUUCUCUUUGCCGGCUUCUGGUGCUUUGAUUGGGACGUCUCUGCUUUUCUCUCUAUUCGCUCUGUUAAGGCAAUGAAUUCGUUGCUAUUACUUGAGAGAAUCCCUGUUUUGUGUGUGUUGAACAGAGAUGCACGUUUUCUAUAUUUAUUUGUGUAGUCAUUUGGUGAAUUGGUUUGUUCCGGUAUUAACCUGAUUCUUUUGUUAACUUGUACGUACUAUCGGUUGAAAUAAAAUUCUUUUUUGUAUAUUCUAGUUUGUUUUAGUUCCCCUUUUUUUUUUUUUUAUGAAAUUUUAUUUAUAUCGUUUAAUUGAAGUGACUGAUAUUGCAUUAGUUUGUCGCUUCUUCCUUUUUAUUCUAAUGCAUGUUCAUCUUUUUUUUUUGGUAAUUAAAUCUUGUUGUAUUAA